UGUGUUACUUAUAAAAGGCCGUGCCAUUGAGUUCUUUCUUUCUUUUCCGUCUUGUGAGGCUUGCCGUUGGCAAUUGAGCAGUCAUGCCCGUUGCUAGAACUUGGGUGUGUAGUAAGACGUACGUCACUCCGAGGCGACCAUUUGAGAAGUCGCGUCUCGACCAGGAGCUUAAACUUAUUGGAGAGUAUGGGCUCCGCAACAAGCGUGAGGUGUGGAGGGUGAAGUUCACUCUGGCAAAGAUCCGCAAAGCUGCCCGAGAGCUCCUUACGCUUGACGAGAAAGACCCGAAGCGGCUUUUCGAGGGCAAUGCUUUGUUGCGUCGUCUGGUGCGCAUUGGAGUGCUUGAUGAAGGCAAAAUGAAGCUCGAUUAUAUCUUGGGAUUGAAGGUAGAAGACUUCUUAGAAAGACGUUUGCAGACCCAGGUCUUCAAACUGGGCUUGGCAAAGUCUAUUCAUCAUGCCCGAGUGUUAAUCAGGCAGAGACACAUCCGCAUACUACUUGUCCCUUGAAAACCUUAAUGUGGUUAAGCUGCCUGACAGCUGCGAGGGGUAAUGCAUUUCAGCAAGGUCAAUUCGGCAGUGAGCCGUAUACCUUGUGAAUAUCUGAAUGGCUCCAGCCAGACUCGGGUCUCUACUUGACAGUGUCCGCAAGCAAGUUGUCAAUAUUCCAUCUUUCGUGGUCCGGCUGGACAGCCAGAAGCAUAUAGACUUCUCCUUGCGAUCACCAUAUGGUGGUGGCAGGCCUGGACGGG
RNA transcript from Polypterus senegalus (gray bichir), 751 nucleotides. It is a transcript of the gene named ribosomal protein S9, with no coding region annotated. NCBI's taxonomy places the organism in Eukaryota, Metazoa, Chordata, Cladistia, Polypteriformes, Polypteridae. The record is from RefSeq and is a predicted model, not a curated record. The transcript is spliced from 6 exons.